This 404-nucleotide long non-coding RNA is filed under the name Gallus gallus (chicken). RNAcentral describes it as "lncRNA (ENSGALG00010004077.1)". Lineage: Eukaryota; Metazoa; Chordata; Aves; Galliformes; Phasianidae. The record is from RNAcentral.
GCAGCAUAAGACGGACAGGAGCUCGGGCCAAUCAGAGCGCGAGUUGCCUCAGAGAGAGGUGGGACAGGAGCUCGGACCAAUCAGAGAGCGAGUUGCCACAGGGCAGGGUAGGAAGGACGGGAGCUCGGACCAGUCAGAGAGCGAGUUGCCUCAGAGAGAGGUGGGACGAGAGAUCGGCCCAAUCAGAGAGCGAGUUCCCACAGGGCAGGAGAGGACGGACGGGAGUUCGGACCAAUCAGAGAGCGAGUUGCCACAGGGAAGGAUAGGACGGACGGAAGCUCGGGCCAAUCAGAGAGCGAGUUACCUCAGAGAGAGGUGGGACGGGACCUCGGCCCAAUCAGAGAUCGAGUUGCCACAGGGCAGGAGAGGACGGACGGGAGUUCGGACGAAUCAGAGAGAGAGAG